ACUUGAAUAUUAAUAGAUAUGGUCUUUAAAUUCAAAGAAUUUGGCGGUAUUUUAGUCUUGUUAGAGGAACCUGUUCUGUUAAUGAUACAACACGAAAAAAUCUUACUUACUCUUGUUUAGCAGUUUGUAUACCGUCAUUAUCAGAUAACCUUUGUUGAGGUAGUUAUUGAAAUUUGAGAAGUAAAGUAUAUUAGAUCAAGGUGCAGUUUAUGGGUAAGAAGAAAUGGGUUACAAUAAAAUUUAUUUAUUACGAAUCAGUAAUAGAAUAGUUUCUGUGAAGGGGGAUUUAAUUGUAAUACAUAAUUUAGCAAGUUAGUGUGAUAUAAGAACUAAAGUAUGUACACAUACGCCCGUCCC
RNAcentral lists this ribosomal RNA (357 nucleotides) under Cherax quinquecarinatus. Its description in RNAcentral is "partial 12S ribosomal RNA". Lineage: Eukaryota; Metazoa; Arthropoda; Malacostraca; Decapoda; Parastacidae. The record is from RNAcentral.